AAGCAAUAAACACACCGCCUGGGGAGUACGACCGCAAGGUUAAAACUCAAAUGAAUUGACGGGGACCCGCACAAGUAGUGGAGCAUGUGGUUUAAUUCGAAGAUACGCGCAGAACCUUACCAACACUUGACAUGUUCGUCGCGACUUUAAGAGAUUAAAGUUUUCGGUUCGGCCGGACGAAACACAGGUGCUGCAUGGCUGUCGUCAGCUCGUGUCGUGAGAUGUUGGGUUAAGUCCCGCAACGAGCGCAACCCUCACUUUUAGUUGCCAUCAUUAAGUUGGGCACUCUGAAAGAACUGCCAGUGAUAAGCUGGAGGAAGGUGGGGAUGACGUCAAGUCCUCAUGGCCCUUACGUGUUGGGCUACACACGUGCUACAAUGGCAUUUACAACAGGAAGCAAAACGGCGACGUUAAGCAAAUCCUAAAAAAAUGCCUCAGUUCGGAUUGUACUCUGCAACUCGAGUACAUGAAGCUGGAAUUACUAGUAAUCGCGGAUCAGCGCGCCGCGGUGAAUACGUUCCCGGGUCUUGUACACACCGCCCGUCACACCAUGGGAGUUGGUUCUACCUUAAGGCAAAGGUUAAAAACUUUGACCACGGUAUAGUCAGCGACUGGGGUGAAGUCAUAACAAGGUAACCGUA
This 641-nucleotide ribosomal RNA is filed under the name uncultured bacterium. Its description in RNAcentral is "bacterial SSU rRNA". It matches the Rfam family "Bacterial small subunit ribosomal RNA", at positions 855 to 1504 of the family's 1533-position model. The record is from RNAcentral.